CUGGAAUAUUUUUCCCAGUGCAGGAAAUCUCCAUGCAUUGCCAGAAAGCUGUCUGUUGUGCCGAGUGGUGCAGCAUGCUGAAGCCUGUCUGUGAACCACAGGCAGGAAGGUAAGACUGAGAGCACCUGAUCAUUUUCACACCACGCAAGACGCUCGUCCCUUGACUUAGAACAAAUUUCCGUAAGAAAACAAACCCUGGCUUCAAUCUGGAUCAGGUCCCAUCUGUGUGACCAAACAGAUUCCACAUGGCACCAGUAUUCUGACAAAAUGGAGACUUUUUCCUCCUGGC
This 289-nucleotide long non-coding RNA is filed under the name Lepisosteus oculatus (spotted gar). RNAcentral describes it as "lncRNA (ENSLOCG00000022833.1)". The record is from RNAcentral. Lineage: Eukaryota; Metazoa; Chordata; Actinopteri; Semionotiformes; Lepisosteidae.